AGCCAGCUUGCUCACCCUCUCCUCGAGGCAUCAGGAAGAGGCAGCAUCGUCUUCAUCUCCUCCGUGGCCGCCAUCGUCGGCAUACGCAAUGUAUCAGCCUAUUCAGCAUCGAAAGGAGCGAUGGAUCAGCUUACCCGAAGCCUUGCAUGUGAAUGGGCGAAGGAAGGGAUUCGAACAAACUGUGUCUCCCCAGGCUUCAUCAGGACUCCAAUCAAUCACCACUUACUGGAAGACAAGGAGAUUUUGGCGGCGGAGAGCAAUCGGGCUCUUCUUGGUCGUGUGGGAGAGGCGGCGGAGGUGGCGGCUGUGGUGGCUUUCCUUUGCCUCCCGGCUUCUGUCUACAUCAAUGGCCAAGUCAUCGUCGUCGAUGGAGGUCGAACUGUGAACGGGAACGCAUGACUCUCGACAGAUGCUGCUAUACUGCUAUAUCUAUCUAUCUAUCUAUAUCUACGCCUUCAGCACGGAGACUAAGAUUUAUGUAUACGUGGGAAGUGGCUUUCAAGUUUGUCAACUUAUCUCUACAUCUUCAUCAGCCAUCACAACUUCUAUUAUCGAUCAAC
This is a long non-coding RNA of Musa acuminata AAA Group (dessert banana), 560 nucleotides long. RefSeq lists it as uncharacterized. The transcript has 3 exons. NCBI's taxonomy places the organism in Eukaryota, Viridiplantae, Streptophyta, Magnoliopsida, Zingiberales, Musaceae. The record is from RefSeq and is a predicted model, not a curated record.